RNAcentral lists this transfer RNA (69 nucleotides) under Tetragonula pagdeni. RNAcentral describes it as "tRNA-Gly". It matches the Rfam family "tRNA". Rfam says of the family: Transfer RNA (tRNA) molecules are approximately 80 nucleotides in length. Their secondary structure includes four short double-helical elements and three loops (D, anti-codon, and T loops). The record is from RNAcentral. Lineage: Eukaryota; Metazoa; Arthropoda; Insecta; Hymenoptera; Apidae. RNAcentral also lists the same sequence under 1 other name.
GUGAGUAUAGUAUAAUAUUAUAUUACGUUUAAUUUCCAAUUAAAAGACUUAGGGAACCUAAUGCUCAUA